This 68-nucleotide transfer RNA is filed under the name Marmota monax (woodchuck). Its description in RNAcentral is "tRNA.Ile". The record is from RNAcentral. Lineage: Eukaryota; Metazoa; Chordata; Mammalia; Rodentia; Sciuridae.
GGAUUGUGGCUUAGUGGUAGAGCGUUCACCUGAUGCGUGCAGGGCCCUGGGUUUGAUCCUGGGCACCA